ACACGAAGCAGCUUUAGUUACAUAUUAAGUAGGACGGGACACGUGUUAUCUUGUCUGAAGAUGGGGGGACCAUCCUCCAAGGCUAAAUACUCCUGACUGACCGAUAGUGAACCAGUACCGUGAGGGAAAGGCGAAAAGAACCCCUGUGAGGGGAGUGAAAUAGAUCCUGAAACCGUAUGCGUACAAGCAGUGGGAGCAGACUUGUUCUGUGACUGCGUACCUUUUGUAUAAUGGGUCAGCGACUUAAUUUUAGUAGCAAGGUUAACCGUAUAGGGGAGCCGUAGGGAAACCGAGUCUUAAUAGGGCGCACAGUUGCUAGGAUUAGACCCGAAACCGAGUGAUCUAUCCAUGAGCAGGUUGAAGGUUAGGUAACACUGACUGGAGGACCGAACCCACUGUCGUUGAAAAGCCAGGGGAUGACUUGUGGAUAGGAGUGAAAGGCUAAUCAAACUCGGAGAUAGCUGGUUCUCCUCGAAAGCUAUUUAGGUAGCGCCUCGUGUAUCACCCUAGGGGGUAGAGCACUGUUUGGGCUAGGGGGUCAUCCCGACUUACCAACCCCAUGCAAACUCCGAAUACCUAGGAGUGCGAGCACGGGAGACACACGGCGGGUGCUAACGUCCGUCGUGGAGAGGGCAACAACCCAGACCGCCAGCUAAGGUCCCAAAUUCAUAGUUAAGUGGGAAACGAUGUGGGAAGGCUUAGACAGCUAGGAGGUUGGCUUAGAAGCAGCCACCCUUUAAAGAAAGCGUAAUAGCUCACUAGUCGAGUCGGCCUGCGCGGAAGAUUUAACGGGGCUCAAACUAUGAACCGAAGCUGCGGAUAUAGAUUUAUCUAUAUGGUAGAGGAGCGUUCUGUACGCUGUUGAAGGUGAAUCGAGAGGUUUGCUGGAGGUAUCAGAAGUGCGAAUGCUGACAUGAGUAACGAUAAGGGGGGUGAAAAACCUCCCCGCCGGAAGACCAAGGGUUCCUGCGCAACGCUAAUCGGCGCAGGGUGAGUCGGCCCCUAAGGCGAGGCUGAGAAGCGUAGUCGAUGGGAAACAGGUUAAUAUUCCUGUACUUCUUUAUAUUGCGAUGGAGAGACGGAGAAAGCUAGGCCAGCAUGGCGAUGGUUGUCCAUGUUUAAGGUUGUAGGCUGGGGACUUAGGCAAAUCCGGGUCCCUAAGGCUGAGAACUGAUGACGAGAUCCUACGGGAUUGAAGUGGUUGAUGCUCUGCUUCCAGGAAAAACUUCUAAGCUUCAGAUAUAAAGGAACCGUACCCCAAACCGACACAGGUGGUCAGGUAGAGAAUACCAAGGCGCUUGAGAGAACUCGGGUGAAGGAACUAGGCAAAAUGGUACCGUAACUUCGGGAGAAGG
This 1355-nucleotide non-coding RNA is filed under the name Oleiphilus sp. HI0009. Its description in RNAcentral is "bacterial LSU rRNA". It matches the Rfam family "Bacterial large subunit ribosomal RNA", at positions 384 to 1746 of the family's 2925-position model. The record is from RNAcentral. Lineage: Bacteria; Pseudomonadati; Pseudomonadota; Gammaproteobacteria; Oceanospirillales; Oleiphilaceae.